This 301-nucleotide ribosomal RNA is filed under the name uncultured bacterium. RNAcentral describes it as "partial 16S ribosomal RNA". It matches the Rfam family "Bacterial small subunit ribosomal RNA", at positions 509 to 809 of the family's 1533-position model. The record is from RNAcentral.
CAGUAGCCGCGGUAAUACGGAGGGGGCUAGCGUUGUUCGGAAUUACUGGGCGUAAAGCGCACGUAGGCGGCUUUGUAAGUUAGAGGUGAAAGCCCGGAGCUCAACUCCGGAAUUGCCUUUAAGACUGCAGAGCUAGCAGGUGAGAGAGGUGAGCGGAAUUCCGAGUGUAGAGGUGAAAUUCGUAGAUAUUCGGAAGAACACCAGUGGCGAAGGCGGCUCACUGGCUCAUACUGGACGCUGAGGUGCGAAAGCGUGGGGAGCAAACAGGAUUAGAUACCCCGGUAGUCCCUGUCUCUUAUAA